ACGAUGAAGCCCAGCUUGCUGGGUGGAUUAGUGGCGAACGGGUGAGUAACACGUGGGUGAUCUGCCCUGCACUUCGGGAUAAGCCUGGGAAACUGGGUCUAAUACCGGAUAGGACCUCGGGAUGCAUGUUCCGGGGUGGAAAGGUUUUCCGGUGCAGGAUGGGCCCGCGGCCUAUCAGCUUGUUGGUGGGGUAACGGCCCACCAAGGCGACGACGGGUAGCCGGCCUGAGAGGGCGACCGGCCACACUGGGACUGAGACACGGCCCAGACUCCUACGGGAGGCAGCGGUGGGGAAUAUUGCACAAUGGGCGCAAGCCUGAUGCAGCGACGCCGCGUGAGGGAUGACGGCCUUCGGGUUGUAAACCUCUUUCAGUACCGACGAAGCGCGAGUGACGGUAGGUACAGAAGAAGCACCGGCCAACUACGUGCCAGCAGCCGCGGUAAUACGUAGGGUGCGAGCGUUGUCCGGAAUUACUGGGCGUAAAGAGCUCGUAGGCGGUUUGUCGCGUCGUCUGUGAAAACCCGCAGCUCAACUGCGGGCUUGCAGGCGAUACGGGCAGACUUGAGUACUGCAGGGGAGACUGUAAUUCCUGGUGUAGCGGUGAAAUGCGCAGAUAUCAGGAGGAACACCGGUGGCGAAGGCGGGUCUCUGGGCAGUAACUGACGCUGAGGAGCGAAAGCGUGGGUAGCGAACAGGAUUAGAUACCCUGGUAGUCCACGCCGUAAACGGUGGGCGCUAGGUGUGGGUUUCCUUCCACGGGAUCCGUGCCGUAGCUAACGCAUUAAGCGCCCCGCCUGGGGAGUACGGC
Molecule: ribosomal RNA, 809 nt
Filed under: Rhodococcus sp. DEE5316
Lineage: Bacteria; Bacillati; Actinomycetota; Actinomycetes; Mycobacteriales; Nocardiaceae
Description: bacterial SSU rRNA
Rfam family: Bacterial small subunit ribosomal RNA
Source: RNAcentral